CGACAAAAGGGAAAUGAUAAAAUAUUAAUAUUAACUCAACCACUAUAUGAAGGUUUCUAAAACACA
This 66-nucleotide transfer RNA is filed under the name Notocomplana palta. Its description in RNAcentral is "tRNA-Arg". The record is from RNAcentral. Lineage: Eukaryota; Metazoa; Platyhelminthes; Polycladida; Notocomplanidae.